UGGGGAAUAUUGGACAAUGGGCGAAAGCCUGAUCCAGCCAUGCCGCGUGUGUGAAGAAGGUCUUCGGAUUGUAAAGCACUUUAAGUUGGGAGGAAGGGCAUUAACCUAAUACGUUAGUGUUUUGACGUUACCGACAGAAUAAGCACCGGCUAACUCUGUGCCAGCAGCCGCGGUAAUACAGAGGGUGCAAGCGUUAAUCGGAAUUACCGGGCGUAAAGCGCGCGUAGGUGGUUUGUUAAGUUGGAUGUGAAAUCCCCGGGCUCAACCUGGGAACUGCAUUCAAAACUGACUGACUAGAGUAUGGUAGAGGGUGGUGGAAUUUCCUGUGUAGCGGUGAAAUGCGUAGAUAUAGGAAGGAACACCAGUGGCGAAGGCGACCACCUGGACUAAUACUGACACUGAGGUGCGGAAGCGUGGGGAGCAAACA
This 427-nucleotide ribosomal RNA is filed under the name uncultured bacterium. Its description in RNAcentral is "partial 16S ribosomal RNA". It matches the Rfam family "Bacterial small subunit ribosomal RNA", at positions 355 to 774 of the family's 1533-position model. The record is from RNAcentral.